GAUGAACGCUGGCGGCGUGCCUAACACAUGCAAGUCGAACGGAGCUGCUUUGAUGAGAUCUUCGGAUGGAUUUAAAACAGCUUAGUGGCGGACGGGUGAGUAACGCGUGGGUAACCUGCCUCACACUGGGGGAUAACAGUUAGAAAUAGCUGCUAAUACCGCAUAAGCGCACGGUUCCGCAUGGAACAGUGUGAAAAACUCCGGUGGUGUGAGAUGGACCCGCGUCUGAUUAGCCAGUUGGCGGGGUAACGGCCCACCAAAGCGACGAUCAGUAGCCGGCCUGAGAGGGUGAACGGCCACAUUGGGACUGAGACACGGCCCAAACUCCUACGGGAGGCAGCAGUGGGGAAUAUUUGCACAAUGGGGGAAACCCUGAUGCAGCGACGCCGCGUGAGUGAAGAAGUAUUUCGGUAUGUAAAGCUCUAUCAGCAGGGAAGAAAGUGACGGUACCUGAAUAAGAAGCCCCGGCUAACUACGUGCCAGCAGCCGCGGUAAUACGUAGGGGGCAAGCGUUAUCCGGAUUUACUGGGUGUAAAGGGAGCGUAGACGGCAAGGCAAGUCUGAAGUGAAAGCCCGGUGCUUAACGCCGGGACUGCUUUGGAAACUGUUUAGCUGGAGUGCCGGAGAGGUAAGCGGAAUUCCUAGUGUAGCGGUGAAAUGCGUAGAUAUUAGGAAGAACACCAGUGGCGAAGGCGGCUUACUGGACGGUAACUGACGUUGAGGCUCGAAAGCGUGGGGAGCAAACAA
RNAcentral lists this ribosomal RNA (747 nucleotides) under uncultured bacterium. Its description in RNAcentral is "bacterial SSU rRNA". It matches the Rfam family "Bacterial small subunit ribosomal RNA", at positions 28 to 775 of the family's 1533-position model. The record is from RNAcentral.